GACGAACGCUGGCGGCGUGCUUAACACAUGCAAGUCGAACGGAAAGGCCCUGCUUUUGUGGGGUGCUCGAGUGGCGAACGGGUGAGUAACACGUGAGUAACCUGCCCUGACUUUGGGAUAACUUCAGGAAACUGGGGCUAAUACCGGAUAGGAGCUCCUGCUGCAUGGUGGGGGUUGGAAAGUUUCGGCGGUUGGGGAUGGACUCGCGGCUUAUCAGCUUGUUGGUGGGGUAGUGGCUUACCAAGGCUUUGACGGGUAGCCGGCCUGAGAGGGUGACCGGCCACAUUGGGACUGAGAUACGGCCCAGACUCCUACGGGAGGCAGCAGUGGGGAAUAUUGCACAAUGGGCGGAAGCCUGAUGCAGCAACGCCGCGUGCGGGAUGACGGCCUUCGGGUUGUAAACCGCUUUCGCCUGUGACGAAGCGUGAGUGACGGUAAUGGGUAAAGAAGCACCGGCUAACUACGUG
Molecule: ribosomal RNA, 467 nt
Filed under: uncultured bacterium
Lineage: Bacteria
Description: partial 16S ribosomal RNA
Rfam family: Bacterial small subunit ribosomal RNA
Source: RNAcentral